AAGGUCAACAACGUGCUCGGUCAGAUCCUGAUCGCACGGCGCAUGGGGAAAAAGCGAAUUAUUGCUGAAACCGGUGCUGGUAUGCAUGGCGUGGCAACUGCCACGUUAUGCGCUCGUUUCGGGCUCCAAUNNNNNNNNNGACAUGGGAUCUCUGGACGUUGAGAGACAGCAGACCAACGUCCUACGAAUGAAAAUUCUCGGCGCAGACGUCAGACCAGUUGAGACGGGCUCGAGAAAGACGCGAUGAAUGAAGCAUUGCGUGAUUGGGUC
This 270-nucleotide unclassified non-coding RNA is filed under the name Hevea brasiliensis (rubber tree). Lineage: Eukaryota; Viridiplantae; Streptophyta; Magnoliopsida; Malpighiales; Euphorbiaceae. The record is from RNAcentral.